AGUAGGGGCAAAACCAGGACUCCCUGGCACUUAUGUAUCAGAUCCUUUCUACCGCCCAUGCUGUGCCACUUAAAACAUCUUUCUUCUCUAUUCUAAACCUAGGAGAUGUGGGAGGACACGCUCACAGUCACAAGGCUAUUGUAAGUGGCAAAGAGGACUCCGGGACACAAGUUUUUCUCUUGUCACUUAGUUGAGGAUCUUUACACUGUGUCAUUUGGCCUCUGUCAGAAGAACAAAUGUGAAACACAUUCAUUGAACUUCUGUUCUCACAAGUCAAGUUUCAAAGAGCAUCUGCCAUAAUGAAUAAAAAUAUAUCUGUAUUUCUCCCGUGUGCUUCGAUUCAGGCAGUCCUGGGUUACAGUCCAGUAAGUCAAGUUCAGGGAACAUCAUGUUUAUCUGAGAGUGAAAAGAGGAGCCCGAACUAAAAAACACACAGACAAAAAAAGACAGCUCUCUGUCUCUCCGUCUUUUAUUUUCCUGCCAAUUCUAAUUCCCCAGCUGAAGAACCUCAUCUACGACUGUGUUCUCUCGAUGUUGACAGAAACUCAAAAUUCAGGUAAUUCUGCUGCAAGUUUCAGUCCAUUCUUGAUAACUCAGAUUCCAAGGUUGCAAGCAGCUUCAGGUCUCCGGUAAAAGACUGGUCUCAUUAAAGGACUUGGAUCAGGCAGCAGAGUAUGGAUUCUAUUGCCAAUGCCUGGCGGACAAGCCCAGAUCAGACCUUAAAGUGGGAGGGAGGGUAGCACUCUUCAGAAGGAUGGGGAAUAUAUUAGUGCAGGGCUUAAACUCACAAGUUGAAGAGGGAUUUGCCUGCCCCACCCACUGAGCCACCAGGACCCCAUUGUUAAUCUCUCCUUAUGCACCUGCAGAAGUACUUAAGGAAACAUGGUAAUACAUCUUUAUUAGAUAUUGAAAAUUUGAUCAUUGUGCCAAUGUUUUCCCAUCAACAGUGAAAGAAUUCCACUGCUUUGUUGUCCUUGACAACACUUGCUAUUUUGAAACUUAAAUUGUUGCUAAUUUGAUGGGUGUGAUGUAGUACUUCCUUGUGUCUUAACCAGUAUUUCCUUGAUUAGUGAACAGUAUUCUUUCAUUAUUUAUUGGCCUUUCAGAUUUACUCUUGUAAGAAAUCUUUUUUGUUUUUUCAGUGUGCAUAUUUCUAUUAGGUAGUCUUUCAUGACUUCCAGGGAUUUUUA
Long non-coding RNA from Lontra canadensis (Northern American river otter), 1190 nucleotides. RefSeq lists it as uncharacterized. The record is from RefSeq and is a predicted model, not a curated record. NCBI's taxonomy places the organism in Eukaryota, Metazoa, Chordata, Mammalia, Carnivora, Mustelidae. The transcript has 4 exons.